GACGACGCUGGCGGCGUGCCUAACACAUGCAAGUCGAGCGGAGUCGAUCGACGGAAGCCUUCGGGCGGAAGAUGGUUGACUUAGCGGCGGAUGGGUGAGUAACGCGUGGGCAACCUGCCUCGAAGACCGGGAUAACAGCCCGAAAGGGCUGCUAAUACCGGAUGUGGUCAAAGAUCCGCAUGGAUUUUUGAUUAAAGGGGAAACCCGUUUCGAGAUGGGCCCGCGUCCUAUCAGCUAGUUGGUGAGGUAAAAGCUCACCAAGGCGACGACGGGUAGCCGGCCUGAGAGGGUGACCGGCCACACUGGAACUGAGACACGGUCCAGACUCCUACGGGGGGCAGCAGUGGGGAAUCUUCCACAAUGGGCGAAAGCCUGAUGGAGCGACGCCGCGUGAGCGAAGAAGGCCUUCGGGUUGUAAAGCUCUGUCUGGAGGGACGAAGGAAGUGACGGUACCUCCGGAGGAAGCCACGGCUAACUACGUG
This 482-nucleotide ribosomal RNA is filed under the name uncultured bacterium. Its description in RNAcentral is "bacterial SSU rRNA". It matches the Rfam family "Bacterial small subunit ribosomal RNA", at positions 33 to 507 of the family's 1533-position model. The record is from RNAcentral.